AAGAGUAUGCAAGAAAAACUACUGUUUCACUUGCAAAGGCUCUGUCGUCGGAUCAUUUAAAGAAAAAAUUAAAAUUAAAAUUAAAAUAAAAAGGAAGAAAAGAAUGAUUGUUUUUGCCCUCCUAAAAGAAAGAAUUGACUGACCUUGCUGCUUAGGACUUUUCUUUUCUAAAGUCUAAAGAGACACGUGCGGGUCAGGAAGCGGGUCGACGCUCAGGUCGGGUCGGGUCUCGACAAAACGUGCAGAUCUUC
Molecule: long non-coding RNA, 251 nt
Filed under: Durio zibethinus
Lineage: Eukaryota; Viridiplantae; Streptophyta; Magnoliopsida; Malvales; Malvaceae
Description: long non-coding RNA (DZIB_LNC001874)
Source: RNAcentral